RNAcentral lists this ribosomal RNA (508 nucleotides) under uncultured bacterium. RNAcentral describes it as "bacterial SSU rRNA". It matches the Rfam family "Bacterial small subunit ribosomal RNA", at positions 36 to 507 of the family's 1533-position model. The record is from RNAcentral.
CUGGCGGCGUGCCUAAUACAUGCAAGUCGAACGCACUCUCGUUUAGAUUGAAGGAGCUUGCUCCUGAUUGAUAACAUUUGAGUGAGUGGCGGACGGGUGAGUAACACGUGGGUAACCUGCCUAAAGUGGGGAUAACAUUUGGAAACAGAUGCUAAUACCGCAUAAAACCUAACACCGCAUGGUGUAGGUUGAAAGAUGGUUUCGGCUAUCACUUUAGGAUGGACCCGCGGUGCAUUAGUUAGUUGGUGAGGUAAAGGCUCACCAAGACCGUGAUGCAUAGCCGACCUGAGAGGGUAAUCGGCCACACUGGGACUGAGACACGGCCCAGACUCCUACGGGAGGCAGCAGUAGGGAAUCUUCCACAAUGGACGAAAGUCUGAUGGAGCAACGCCGCGUGAGUGAAGAAGGUUUUCGGAUCGUAAAACUCUGUUGUUGGAGAAGAAUGUAUCUGAUAGUAACUGAUCAGGUAGUGACGGUAUCCAACCAGAAAGCCACGGCUAACUACGUG